GACGAACGCUGGCGGCGUGCUUAACACAUGCAAGUCGAACGGAAAGGCCCUGCUUUUGUGGGGUGCUCGAGUGGCGAACGGGUGAGUAACACGUGAGUAACCUGCCCUUGACUUUGGGAUAACUUCAGGAAACUGGGGCUAAUACCGGAUAGGAGCUCCUGCUGCAUGGUGGGGGUUGGAAAGUUUCGGCGGUUGGGGAUGGACUGGCGGCUUAUCAGCUUGUUGGUGGGGUAGUGGCUUACCAAGGCUUUGACGGGUAGCCGGCCUGAGAGGGGGAACGGCCACAAUGGGACUGAGAUACGGACCAGACUCCUACGGGAGGCAGCAGUGGGGAAUAUUGCACAAUGGGCGGAAGCCUGAUGCAGCAACGCCGGGUGCGGGAAGACGGCCUUCGGGUUGUAAACCGCUUUCGCCUGUGACGAAGCGUGAGUGACGGUAAUGGGUAAAGAAGCACCGGCUAACUACGUG
This 468-nucleotide ribosomal RNA is filed under the name uncultured bacterium. RNAcentral's name for it is "partial 16S ribosomal RNA". It matches the Rfam family "Bacterial small subunit ribosomal RNA", at positions 28 to 507 of the family's 1533-position model. The record is from RNAcentral.